Molecule: transfer RNA, 58 nt
Filed under: Escherichia coli
Lineage: Bacteria; Pseudomonadati; Pseudomonadota; Gammaproteobacteria; Enterobacterales; Enterobacteriaceae
Also listed under: 16 other names
Description: tRNA-Lys
Rfam family: tRNA
About the family: Transfer RNA (tRNA) molecules are approximately 80 nucleotides in length.
Source: RNAcentral
UAGCUCAGUUGGUAGAGCAGUUGACUUUUAAUCAAUUGGUCGCAGGUUCGAAUCCUGC